GAUGAACGCUGGCGGCGUGCCUAAUACAUGCAAGUCGAGCGAACAGACGAGGAGCUUGCUCCUUUGACGUUAGCGGCGGACGGGUGAGUAACACGUGGGUAACCUACCUAUAAGACUGGGAUAACUUCGGGAAACCGGAGCUAAUACCGGAUAAUAUUUCGAACAGCAUGGUUCGAUAGUGAAAGAUGGCUUUGCUAUCACUUAUAGAUGGACCUACGCCGUAUUAGCUAGUUGGUAAGGUAACGGCUUACCAAGGCAACGAUACGUAGCCGACCUGAGAGGGUGAUCGGCCACACUGGAACUGAGACACGGUCCAGACUCCUACGGGAGGCAGCAGUAGGGAAUCUUCCGCAAUGGGCGAAAGCCUGACGGAGCAACGCCGCGUGAGUGAUGAAGGUCUUCGGAUCGUAAAACUCUGUUAUUAGGGAAGAACAAACGUGUAAGUAACUGUGCACGUCUUGACGGUACCUAAUCAGAAAGCCACGGCUAACUACGUG
This 497-nucleotide ribosomal RNA is filed under the name uncultured bacterium. RNAcentral describes it as "partial 16S ribosomal RNA". It matches the Rfam family "Bacterial small subunit ribosomal RNA", at positions 28 to 507 of the family's 1533-position model. The record is from RNAcentral.